UCUCCGCCAUUGAAGGCUUUUCACUCAGUGAGCGGGAGACCUUUGUUUUAAACAGAUUGAAAUGGAAAUAUUAGUGCCCGGGUAAGCGAGUAAACAGCGUUCUGAUAAAAGCAGUGCACCGGUUUGUCAGUGUAGACACAGAAAUCAAUAUUGACUCGGGGUAAGUUCGGGGAGAACCGGGGUCUGUUUGUAAGAGGCGGAGCGGAGCGGGAACGUGUUCCGAAACUUGGAGUGAGCGGGUGGAAGGGGAGAGGCCUUUCUGGGGUUGUGUGUGGCCUUGCUGAGGGAGACAGAACCUGAGCAAGCUGCAACUGAAAACUAUUGGGAUAUUCUCCCCUCAAACCUGUAACGCAUAUUCCAAGUUUAGCUGCUGAUUCGUGCAACUUGUCGGCAUUUCGACAGGCAACAGUGGAAACAGACGGACAGUGAGGAUGGGGAACAAUCUUGUGAAGAUCACCCAUCGCAGGCACCAGCUAUUCAAGUGAUAAGUGUUAAAGAAACCUUGUAGCAGCGGCUGUUGGUUUCAGUUGACGGCUCUUACAAUGGGAGCUGGAGAUUAAAACCUCACCUGAUCAAUGUCUCUGUCCCCGCGGCUCGUGACAUCCUUGGAGCAGGACAGGUCAGGAUUGUUUCUGAAUGUAAAACAAAAACAGAAUUACCUGGAAAAACUUGGACUCGAACUCAGGUUCUGUCGAAGGGUCAUGAGGACUCGAAACGUCAACUCUUCUCUUCUCCGCCGAUGCUGCCAGACCUGCUGAGUUUUUCCAGGCAAAUAGAUGAAGGGAUCAGUUUGAAGCUGAUGAUUGCCCCAGCCAAAUUGAAAGUAAAGGCGUCUCCUUCUAACUGACGGCAGGUAUGAUAUUACUCACAGAGUGCAGAGAUACAGAUAGAGCAUCAUUUCCACCAUCACCACGAAGAGUAAUAUUCAGAGUCAAAAACCAGAUACAUGUGCUCAAUUCAAUCGUCAGAGGGGGGCGGGGUUGAAGAAAUGGUUGGAAUAAUCACAAUACACUCCUACUCAGUACCUCUGAAUGGCAGGUCCACCUAUUUCAGUCCAAACUCACAGCCAUUAUCAGAUUGAAGUGUACUCCAUGCAUAUCACAAGAAUGGAACAUUGGCUGCAAUUUAAAUAUCAGAUUUCGCAGGCUCGGCCAGCAUUUAGUUGCAUAUGAGAAGGUGGUGGUGAGCUGAUUUCUUGAACCACUGCAGUCCCUGUGGUGUACGUACACCCACAGUUCUGUGGGCAUGGAUUGCCAGGAUUCUGCUCCAGCAAAAGUAGCAUAUUUCCAAGUCAGAAUGGUGAGUGCCCUGGAGGGGAACUUCCAGGUGGUGGUGUUUUCAUCUAUCUGCUGCUCUUGUCCUUCAGGUUCGACAUGGCUAAUUUUGCUAUUGUCAGUGACCUCUUUGUAGCCUUUGUUAGAAUUGAGUGGCUAGCUAGGCCAUUUCAGAGGGCGUUUAAGUGUGAGUCUAGAAUCACAUGUACAAUGAUGACAGAUUUCCUUCUCUAAAGGAUAUUAAUAAACCAGAAGGGUUUUUUUUACCACAA
Molecule: long non-coding RNA, 1546 nt
Organism: Carcharodon carcharias (great white shark)
Lineage: Eukaryota; Metazoa; Chordata; Chondrichthyes; Lamniformes; Lamnidae
Exons: 3
Source: RefSeq, a predicted model, not a curated record